Carassius gibelio (silver crucian carp) is the source of this 1880-nucleotide long non-coding RNA. RefSeq lists it as uncharacterized. The transcript has 2 exons. The record is from RefSeq and is a predicted model, not a curated record. Lineage: Eukaryota; Metazoa; Chordata; Actinopteri; Cypriniformes; Cyprinidae.
AAUGUUUAUUAGAUUAACAGGCUGAACGUGCCUCUCAAUGAGAGACCACAUAACUUAGAUUGAUAGAGAUGCCGAUAACUUUGCUGUCUGACACUGAGCUCCAGUGAGAGACAUUUUUGUGCAGAUAAAGGGAUUAGCACACAGCAUGAGAAUAACUCCUGCCCUGCUCUCCGUCUGCUCUGCAGGGAAAGUACAAGUGUAGCACCUUUGAAGAGAUUAAUCCCAAUACAGAGCAUCAGUGCUGCCACCAGUGAAUAUCCCAUCAUAGUCACAUACUGUAUUAAACCCUCUGAACCGAGCACACGACCACACCCAGUCCACAUCACCAGUCCAGCUUCCACACAUCUCAGCCUAUCAGAGGAGUUACUGCAGGGUAAUGAGCUUUUAAUGCAGCAAACAAGGAACACACUGGACACAUGACAUGGGAGUAUCAGAUUUUUCCUUAGGGGUUCUCAAGUUCAGGAACAACAAGUUGAUUUAUUAAAAGCUGACUGUAAACGCCUAGAUUAAACCCCAACCCAGCCCUUGAACAUGCGCUCUUGUCACCACAACUGACGACUUGUGUCUGCUGUUUUGUAGAAAGUGAGAUAUGAAACCAGUUCCACCCUUAUAGCACCAACUAACUAUACCUUCAGUAACCGAAUACUCUAUGUAUCUUAUGGUUAAUUACUCCGCAAGCACUGUAUCAUGCUAAAUGUUAAGAAGGGAUAUUUCACCCAAAAUUACAAUUAUGUCAUCAUCAUCAUCAUGUCAUCAUCAAAACUCAUACAGGUUGGAACAAGUGGACGAUUCCACUUUAUGAAUCAUCAAGCAAUGUAAUUUUCAUCAGCAUGUAAAGAUGGGAUAUAUGGAAGGUGUCUGAUCGCAGAGUGAAAUGAAGGGUCAUUUUAAUGACAAUGAAGGUUAUGACGGGGAAAAUGUACCAACGAGGCCUGGUUAGUAUCACACUGCAUACAGUUUUCAUAACGUACUAUUUUGAGCCACAUCAGAUUUAAGAAAUUGCCAUUUAAAUUCAGUAGGUCUCAUUUUUAGGGCUGUCCUUUGAACACAUUUGCAUAGUACAUAGUGCAGUUUGCACAAAAAUUAAAAUUCUGUUAUUUACUCUUCAUGGUGUUACAAACCUGUUUCUUCUGCUGAACAAAAAAAGAUGAUAUUUUUAAAAAUUUCUCAGUGUUUUGUUUGUAUGCAAAUAAAUUCAAUGGAGUCCAAUGUUGCUUUUGGGUGCCAAUUAUGAAAAAUAUAUUACACACUUUAAAUUGUUUUAAGGAUAGGUUUUUUUUCUCUCGCAAAUAUGCAUUCAUUUUAUCAAAACAACCAGCGUUUGGUGUAAUUAAUUCCAUUAAAUGUUGUAUUUGAUUGACAACCCUAGUAUUGUUUCCUCUUAUUGGGCUCAUAACUCUAAUUUUAAUAAAGUAUCUGUUUAAAAGCAGGAUUUUAUCCCAGUAAAUGAAUCAAAACCAGUUUGAAUCCGCAAUACUGAGCGACUCAGCUGAGAUGUCUGCUAACAGAAUAGAAAUGAACCAAUUAAAGCGGCUGCCCGCCCAACAGAGCUCAGUCUGAGCAGGAGAAUACAUUAGCAGACUGUGAAGCUGUAUCUGCAGACAUGUUUGACACUUUUAGGUGCUCAGUUGGCUGUAGUCAAUGCCACAGAUUUGAAAGCAGCCGAUUAUCUAGCAGAACUUCACUAACCGUCUCAGCCCUUCUCUAGUGCUACAGAUUGUAAAUGCAUGCUGAUUCAGACUGGUACUAUUAGCUACAUAAAGCCUGUCUGGAGGCCUUCAGUUUAAUUAGGUGUUUGUACAACCUGGUGUGCUUGUUAAAAUAUACAUUUAAAUAUGAAAUAUUGAUAAAAAAAAUUAAUAAAGGCAUUUAUUCUCAUC